GCCUACGGGGGGCAGCAGUAGGGAAUAUUGCUCAAUGGGGGAAACCCUGAAGCAGCAACGCCGCGUGGAGGAUGAAGGUUUUCGGAUUGUAAACUCCUUUUGUUAGAGAAGAUAAUGACGGUAUCUAACGAAUAAGCACCGGCUAACUCCGUGCCAGCAGCCGCGGUAAUACGGAGGGUGCAAGCGUUACUCGGAAUCACUGGGCGUAAAGAGCGCGUAGGCGGGAUAGCAAGUCAGAUGUGAAAUCCUAUGGAUUAACCAUAGAACUGCAUUUGAAACUGUUAUUCUAGAGUAUGGGAGAGGUA
This 305-nucleotide ribosomal RNA is filed under the name uncultured bacterium. Its description in RNAcentral is "bacterial SSU rRNA". It matches the Rfam family "Bacterial small subunit ribosomal RNA", at positions 337 to 659 of the family's 1533-position model. The record is from RNAcentral.